This 339-nucleotide unclassified non-coding RNA is filed under the name soil metagenome. Its description in RNAcentral is "partial contains 5.8S ribosomal RNA, internal transcribed spacer 2, and large subunit ribosomal RNA". The stretch from base 1 to 120 matches the Rfam family "5.8S ribosomal RNA", at positions 35 to 154 of the family's 154-position model. The record is from RNAcentral.
GAUGAAGAACGUAGUGAAAUGCGAUACGUAGUGUGAAUUGCAGAAUUCAGUGAAUCAUCGAAUCUUUGAACGCACAUUGCACCUCUCGGUAUUCCGGGAGGUAUGCCUGUUCGAGCGUCAUUUGUACCCUCAAGCUCUGCUUGGUGUUGGGUGUUUGUUCCGCCUCUGUGUGUGAACUCGCCUCAAAACAAUUGGCAGCCGGCGUACUUGUUUCGGAGCGCAGCACAUUUUGCGAUCCAGAUCAACGUACAGCGGCAUCCAAGAAGCCUUAUUUAACGCUCUUGACCUCGAAUCAGGUAGGGAUACCCGCUGAACUUAAGCAUAUCAAUAAGCGGAGGA